GUUUUUUAAGCCCGUUGGAAAAGCGCAGUAUUCGGGUGGGAGUGACCCAAUUUUCCAGGUGCCGUCUGUCACCCCUUUCUUUGACUAGGAAAGGGAACUCCCUGACCCCUUGUGCUUCCCGAGUGAGGCAAUGCCUCGCCCUGCUUCGGCUCACGCACGGUGCGCUGCACCCACUGACCUGGGCCCACUGUCUGGCACUCCGUAGUGAGAUGAACCUGGUACCUCAGAUGGAAAUGCAGAAAUCACCUGUGUUCUGCGUCACUCACGCUGGGAGCUGUAGACCGGAGCUGUUCCUAUUUGGCCAUCUUGGCUCCUCCCCCCCCCCGUAUUGUCUUGAUAAACAUCUUAAACAGCAGAAAACAGGGUUGAGACCAGAGAACUGGUCUGACCACAGAUUUACCAGGGCGGAGUUUUUCCCCACCCUAAUAAGCCUGAGGGUACUGCAGGAGACCAGGGAAUACCUCAAUCCUUAUCUCAACCACAUAAGAGAGAAACUCCCAGAGCAGCUGUUUAUAGACCUCCCCCCAGGAAUGCAUUCCUUUCCCAGGGUAUUAAUAUUAAUAUUCCUUGCUAGGAAAAGAAUUUAGCGAUAUCUCUCCUACUUGCACAUCCGUUUAUAGGCUCUCUGCAAGAAGAAAAAUAUGGCUCUUUUUGCCUGACCCCACAGGCAGUCAGACCUUAUAGUUGUCUUCCCUUGUUCCCUAAAAAUCAGUUAUUCUGUUCUUUUUCAAGGUGCACUGAUUUCAUAUUGUUCAAACACACAUGUUUUACAAUCAUUUUGUACAGUUAACACAAAUAUCACAGUGGUCCUGAGGUGACAUACAUCCUCAGCUUAUGAAGAUAACAGGAUUAAGAGAUUAAAGUAAAGACAGGCAUAAGAAAUUAUAAAAGUAUUAUUUGGGAACUGAUAAAUGUCCAUGAAAUUUUCACAAUUCAUGUUCCUUUGCUGUGGCUCCAGCCGGUCCCUCCGUUCGGGGUCCCUGACUUUCCACAACACACAAGAAAAUUUAAAAAAUUUAAAACCAACUAUUCCUCCAAAAAUUAAAAAUAGAAAUAUCAUGUGAUCCAGGAAUUUCACUCUUCAGUAUAUACUCAGAAGAACUGGAAGCAGGGAUGUGAACAUAAAUGUGUACAUCACUGUUCAUAGCAUUAUUCACAGUAGUUAAAAAGGGGAAACAGCCCAAAUGUCCAUCAACAGAUGAAUGGAUGAACAAAAUGGGAUAUUUAAGUUAUGUACAAUGGAACAUUAUUCAGCCAUAGAAAAGAAUGAAAUUCUGAUACGUGCUGCAACAUGGGUGAACCUUAAAAACACUGUGCUAAGUGAAAUAACCCAGACAAAGGGAAAAUAUAAUAUGAUUCCACUUGUAUGAAGUACCUAGACUAGGCAGAUUUGUGAGCGACAGAAAGUGCCACAGACGUUACCAGAGGCUGAGAGUAAGGGGCAAUGGGGAGGGAGGUAUUGUUUAAUGGGUACAGAGCUUCAGUGUGGGAAGAUGAAAAAGUCCUGGAAGAUGAAAGAAAAAAUUCUGGAAAAUUAUAGUAGUGAUAGGUUACCUAAUAUUGUGAAAGUACUUAAUGCUACUGAAUUAUACACUAAAAAAUUGUUAAAGUGGUAAAUUUUGUUACAUGUAUUUUACUGGAAUGAAAACAAUUAAAACCAUCUAUAAAUCAUGGUAUCCAGAGGAAACAAUAAGUAUUUUGGCUGAUUUUAACACUUUUUUUCCCCUGUAGAUAUGUGUUUUAUAAAAUUUGGCUAAUAAUACUAUGCAUGUAAUCCUGAGCUCUUGAAUUUUACAUUUUAAUUGUAUUUUCCUUAUCAUUAAAUACAAUGAAAUCAC
Molecule: long non-coding RNA, 1838 nt
Filed under: Homo sapiens (human)
Lineage: Eukaryota; Metazoa; Chordata; Mammalia; Primates; Hominidae
Description: non-protein coding lnc-RBM28-1:3
Source: RNAcentral